GUGAGGAAUAUUGGUCAAUGGGCGUAAGCCUGAACCAGCCAAGUCGCGUGAGGGAUGAAGGUUCUAUGGAUCGUAAACCUCUUUUAUAAGGGAAUAAAGUGCGGGACGUGUCCUGUUUUGUAUGUACCUUAUGAAUAAGGAUCGGCUAACUCCGUGCCAGCAGCCGCGGUAAUACGGAGGAUCCGAGCGUUAUCCGGAUUUAUUGGGUUUAAAGGGUGCGUAGGCGGCCUUUUAAGUCAGCGGUGAAAGUCUGUGGCUCAACCAUAGAAUUGCCGUUGAAACUGGGAGGCUUGAGUAUGUUUGAGGCAGGCGGAAUGCGUGGUGUAGCGGUGAAAUGCUUAGAUAUCACGCAGAACCCCGAUUGCGAAGGCAGCCUGCCAAGCCAUGACUGACGCUGAUGCACGAAAGCGUGGGGAUCAAACAGGAUUAGAUACCCUAGUAGUCC
Molecule: ribosomal RNA, 445 nt
Filed under: uncultured bacterium
Lineage: Bacteria
Description: partial 16S ribosomal RNA
Rfam family: Bacterial small subunit ribosomal RNA
Source: RNAcentral